This is a long non-coding RNA of Bombus pascuorum, 761 nucleotides long. RefSeq lists it as uncharacterized. The record is from RefSeq and is a predicted model, not a curated record. The transcript is spliced from 3 exons. NCBI's taxonomy places the organism in Eukaryota, Metazoa, Arthropoda, Insecta, Hymenoptera, Apidae.
AGCGAUCGGUAAAGGCAGUCGGAUCUGAACCUGUUUUACUUUAAACCCAUCUAUUUUAAUUACGUCGAGAAGAAAAAUGAAUUAUCUUUGUGAGGAAAAUAUAGAUAGUGACGAUGACAAUUUUGAUUUUCGCAUCUAUAAUGAUGUAGCUGUUGACUUGGAAAGCAUUUAUAGUGACAGAAAUAAUAGUAAUAUUCUUGCUCCUGGAAGAAGAAGAAAGAUAAGGAAACUAUCGUCGAGUGACGAAAGUGCAGGUGAUGGAGAACCGCGGGAAGAAAAUCUAACUAAGAGUAUUUCUAACGUAAAAUCUUCUGAUUGGCAGGAAAUUUUUACCAAAGAUAUCGUUCCACGACAAUUUGAAUUUUCGACGCGUACAAAAACUCCUGGUCCGCAGGUACACGAUUUAUAUGCUACCAUACGAGUGGGGAAUGCAAAAGACUCCGUAUAGUCCACGACCUGAUAUUGUCGCAGAUACAGUGCGACGCAAAAUAAAUCGGAGUACAAAUUCAUCGCAGUCAAUAUAAAGAUCGCACCGGUAGCUUUCAUCCUUUAACUUUCUUUAAACCCGAUACCUACAUGUAUCAGUGUGCACCAGGAAUGACGACGUCAUAUUUCUUGAAAUAUCCAACGAAUUAUAUCAAACACAAAAUGCCAAUAGUUUCACCUCUCACUUACGAAAGGAGGAUGCAGACACCGUACAUUCCAGAUUUAUCUCUGUCUGGGAUAUAUAAUAAAUCCACUUGUAUUGCUUAUAAACGAUA